GACGAACGCUGGCGGCGUGCUUAACACAUGCAAGUCGAACGGCAAGGCCCUGCUUUUGUGGGGUGCUCGAGUGGCGAACGGGUGCGUAACACGUGAGUAACCUGCCCUUGUCUUUGGGAUAACUUCAGGAAACUGGGGCUAAUACAGGAUAGGAGCUCCUGCUGCAUGGUGGGGGUUGGAAAGUUUCGGCGGUUGGGGAUGGACUCGCGGCUUAUCAGCUUGUUGGUGGGGUAGUGGCUUACCAAGGAUUUGAUGGGUAGCUGGCCUGAGAGGGUGACCGGCGACAUUGGAAGUGAGCCACGCUCAUGGCUCCUACGGGAGGCAGCAGUGGGGAAUGGGGGACAAGGGGCGAAAGCCUGAUCCAGCCAGAGCGCGUGGGUGAAGAAGGCCUGCGGGGUGGAAAGCCCUUUUGUUGGGAAAGAAAAGCAGCAGGUUAAUACCACGCUGGUCUGACGGUACCGAAAGAAUAAGCACCGGCUAACUUCGUG
This 488-nucleotide ribosomal RNA is filed under the name uncultured bacterium. RNAcentral describes it as "partial 16S ribosomal RNA". It matches the Rfam family "Bacterial small subunit ribosomal RNA", at positions 28 to 507 of the family's 1533-position model. The record is from RNAcentral.